UACGUAGGUGGCAAGCGUUGUCCGGAAUUAUUGGGCGUAAAGCGCGCGCAGACGGUCCUUUAAGUCUGAUGUGAAAGCCCACGGCUCAACCGUGGAAGGUCAUUGGAAACUGGAGGACUUGAGUACAGAAGAGGAAAGUGGAAUUCCACGUGUAGCGGUGAAAUGCGUAGAGAUGUGGAGGAACACCAGUGGCGAAGGCGACUUUCUGGUCUGUAACUGACGUUGAGGCGCGAAAGCGUGGGGAGCAAACGGG
RNAcentral lists this ribosomal RNA (253 nucleotides) under uncultured bacterium. RNAcentral's name for it is "partial 16S ribosomal RNA". It matches the Rfam family "Bacterial small subunit ribosomal RNA", at positions 524 to 776 of the family's 1533-position model. The record is from RNAcentral.